GUUGGAUUCUGUCUUCAUAUGCAUUCUCCUAGCCUGUGUCUUUUUAUAGAACUCUCAUCCAGUGGCUGAUGGAGGCAGAGACAGACAACUACAGCUGUGAACCAACUUAAUUUCCUGGAACCCAUUUGCAAAGAGGAGUGAUGACCAAAGGAAUCAAGAUCAGGCUGGUGAAACCCAUAGAGGCAGUUGACCUAAACAAGGGGGAACAUAUUUACCCCAGACUGAUGACUAAGGGGCCAUCAUGGAACUGAUACAGAUAUCACUCCCACCAAACCUGGGUGACAGAGAGGAGGUCUUGGGUAUCUGUGGGACCUUAGAUAGUAGAGCAGUAUUUAUUCUUGGCAUGCAGAUGGCCUUUGAGAUCCCAUUCUACAUGGACCAAUGCUCUCUCAGCCUGGACAUAUGGAGGAGGAUCUAGGCCCUGCCUGGGAUGAUGUGACAGACUCUGAAAAUCCCCCCAUGGAAGCCUUUGUCCUCCCUGGGAAGUGGAGGGGCGAUUGAGUGGUGGUGAAGUGUUAGGAGGAUUGAAGGGUAGGGGAGAAGGUGAGGGAGAGGGAACUGAGGUUGACUUUUGUAAAAAGUUAAAGAAAAAAGAAAAAAUAUUUUGCUAUAUACACAAUAGAAUUGCAUUGAGUCAUAAUGAAUUGUAUAAUUAUAUAAUUUGAAGAGCAGUGGAUGGAACUAGGGAUUUCCAAAGUAAUAUUAAGUUAAAUAAACAUUACUCAGCAAAACAUA
Mesocricetus auratus (golden hamster) is the source of this 735-nucleotide long non-coding RNA. RefSeq lists it as uncharacterized. The record is from RefSeq and is a predicted model, not a curated record. The transcript has 2 exons. NCBI's taxonomy places the organism in Eukaryota, Metazoa, Chordata, Mammalia, Rodentia, Cricetidae.